This is a long non-coding RNA of Eufriesea mexicana, 1244 nucleotides long. RefSeq lists it as uncharacterized. The record is from RefSeq and is a predicted model, not a curated record. NCBI's taxonomy places the organism in Eukaryota, Metazoa, Arthropoda, Insecta, Hymenoptera, Apidae. The transcript has 7 exons.
GGAAUUUGCUAUGAAAUAUACUCAUCAAACGGUUCUGGCCCUUGUACAGAAUAUUUUAUCCAACAAAAAGCAAGAUAUUAGAAGUUCCUUAUGAUCCCCUGACUUUCUACAGUUCGACGAACGAAACCGUAAAUAGUGUAUAAAAACAUCUGCUUGAAAUUUGUCCUUGACUGUGAGGCAUUCCUUACCUCUCUCUCCCCUCCACGACAACGCACCGUCAACCGAACGUUGACCGGAACAGUUUUGCUAACGGACAAAGCUGUGUAGCAUUGUGUCGCUGGAAAUCAUGGCGUGAGGACGUAUCGUUAUGUAUAUUGCAUACCUGCUAUGGAAUACUUCGACGGCUAUUUUGAUAGUAUAUUUGUACAACAUUAUUAGACAUGUGAUGCGUCAGCUAUGAAAGUUUUACGAAGUUCAAAUCUUCGACUUGCCGCGGGUUUUAAAAGUGGAGGAGGCAGCUACCUUUUUCGACCAAUCCGCGCUGACAGUUAGACGACGCUGUGAUACUGUAAAUUUCAAUGUAAUAUUGAAAGUGCCAUCCUUAGAACGUAUGACGCAAUAUCACUCACAAGAUCAAUCUCAUUUCCUCGACUUCAUAAUUAUAUAAUAUUGGACUUUGCUAUGAAAUAAGCUCAUAAAACGAUUCUGGCCCUGCUACAGAAUAUUGAAUCCAGCAAAAUGCUAGCCAUUGGAGGUUGCUUAUGAUCGUCUGACUUCUAUAGUUCAACGAACGAAACUGUAGAUUGCGUAUAAAAAUAUCAAUCUGCUUGAAAUUUGUCCUUGACCGAGAAGCAUUCGCUGCCUCUCUGCUCGCCUGCACCCCCCCAGACGUUCUUUGUUUGGAACAGUUUUGCUAACUCACAGUGCUGGGUAGCAUUGUGCCACUGGAAAUCAUGACAUGUGAUUCGUCAACCAUAAGAACCUUUACAAAGUUCAAAUCCCCGUGCUAUCGUGGGCUUCGGAAAUGGCGGGAAGAGCUAGAUCUCUCGACCAAUCCGAUGACGGCUAGGCGACGUCAUGAUAGGGUGGGAUCAUUUUCCUUUUGAACGUCGUGGCAAAACUGGACGUGAGAUCGAAUUCAGAUUAUUAGUUGACUCAAAUGAUCACGUAGAACGUAUUGGAAACGCCAACGAUCGUAUUUGAGGACGAGCAAUAAACGCCAUGAUGAUUAAUCUCUGAUGACUGGAAUGGCCUCAAAACAUAAAAGAUUCAAGGAAUGAACAGCAUAUUGACAAAUAGUCGAC